This 460-nucleotide ribosomal RNA is filed under the name uncultured bacterium. RNAcentral's name for it is "partial 16S ribosomal RNA". It matches the Rfam family "Bacterial small subunit ribosomal RNA", at positions 338 to 795 of the family's 1533-position model. The record is from RNAcentral.
CCUACGGGAGGCAGCAGUGAGGAAUAUUGGUCAAUGGGCGCAAGCCUGAACCAGCCAAGUCGCGUGAGGGAAGACGGCCCUACGGGUUGUAAACCUCUUUUGCCGGGGAGCAAGCCUGAGCACGUGUGCCCAGGCGGAGAGUACCCGGAGAAAAAGCAUCGGCUAACUCCGUGCCAGCAGCCGCGGUAAUACGGAGGAUGCGAGCGUUAUCCGGAUUUAUUGGGUUUAAAGGGUGCGCAGGCGGGCUGUUAAGCCGGCGGUAAAAAUUCAGGGCUCAACCCUGUCGAGCCGUCGGAACUGGCAGUCUUGAGUGGGCGAGAAGUAUGCGGAAUGCGUGGUGUAGCGGUGAAAUGCAUAGAUAUCACGCAGAACGCCGAUUGCGAAGGCAGCAUACCGGCGCCCAACUGACGCUGAGGCACGAAAGCGUGGGGAUCGAACAGGAUUAGAUACCCCAGUAGUC